UACGUAGGGGGCUAGCGUUGUCCGGAAUCAUUGGGCGUAAAGCGCGUGUAGGCGGCCCGGUAAGUCCGCUGUGAAAGUCGGGGGCUCAACCCUCGGAAGCCGGUGGAUACUGUCGGGCUCGAGUACGGAAGAGGCGAGUGGAAUUCCUGGUGUAGCGGUGAAAUGCGCAGAUAUCAGGAGGAACACCAAUUGCGAAGGCAGCUCGCUGGGACGUAACUGACGCUGAGACGCGAAAGCGUGGGGAGCAAACAGG
RNAcentral lists this ribosomal RNA (253 nucleotides) under uncultured bacterium. RNAcentral's name for it is "partial 16S ribosomal RNA". It matches the Rfam family "Bacterial small subunit ribosomal RNA", at positions 524 to 776 of the family's 1533-position model. The record is from RNAcentral.